GUUUGAUCCUGGCUCAGAUUGAACGCCGGCGGCAUGCCUUACACAUGCAAGUCGAACGGCAGCACGGGAGCAAUCCUGGUGGCGAGUGGCGAACGGGUGAGUAAUACAUCGGAACGUGUCCUGUAGUGGGGGAUAGCCCGGCGAAAGCCGGAUUAAUACCGCAUACGACCUACGGGUGAAAGCGGGGGACCGCAAGGCCUCGCGCUACAGGAGCGGCCGAUGUCAGAUUAGCUAGUUGGUGGGGUAAAGGCCUACCAAGGCGACGAUCUGUAGCUGGUCUGAGAGGACGACCAGCCACACUGGGACUGAGACACGGCCCAGACUCCUACGGGAGGCAGCAGUGGGGAAUUUUGGACAAUGGGGGCAACCCUGAUCCAGCCAUGCCGCGUGCGGGGAGAAGGCCUUCGGGUUGUAAACCGCUUUUGUCGGGGAAGAAACGGUCUGCGCUAAUACCGCAGGCUUAUGACGGUACCCGAAGAAUAAGCACCGGCUAACUACGUGCCAGCAGCCGCGGUAAUACGUAGGGUGCAAGCGUUAAUCGGAAUUACUGGGCGUAAAGCGUGCGCAGGCGGCUUUGCAAGACAGAUGUGAAAUCCCCGGGCUCAACCUGGGAACUGCAUUUGUGACUGCAUGGCUGGAGUGCGGCAGAGGGGGAUGGAAUUCCGCGUGUAGCAGUGAAAUGCGUAGAUAUGCGGAGGAACACCGAUGGCGAAGGCAAUCCCCUGGGCCUGCACUGACGCUCAUGCACGAAAGCGUGGGCAGCAAACAGGAUUAGAUACCCUGGUAGUCCACGCCCUAAACGAUGUCAACUGGUUGUUGGACGGCUUGCUGUUCAGUAACGAAGCUAACGCGUGAAGUUGACCGCCUGGGGAGUACGGCCGCAAGGUUGAAACUCAAAGGAAUUGACGGGGACCCGCACAAGCGGUGGAUGAUGUGGUUUAAUUCGAUGCAACGCGAAAAACCUUACCUACCCUUGACAUGCCAGGAACUUACCAGAGAUGGUUUGGUGCUCGAAAGAGAGCCUGGACACAGGUGCUGCAUGGCCGUCGUCAGCUCGUGUCGUGAGAUGUUGGGUUAAGUCCCGCAACGAGCGCAACCCUUAUCAUUAGUUGCUACGCAAGGGCACUCUAAUGAGACUGCCGGUGACAAACCGGAGGAAGGUGGGGAUGACGUCAGGUCAUCAUGGCCCUUAUGGGUAGAGCUACACACGUCAUACAAUGGCCGGUACAGAGGGCUGCCAACCCGCGAGGGGGAGCUAAUCUCAGAAAACCGGUCGUAGUCCGGAUCGCAGUCUGCAACUCGACUGCGUGAAGUCGGAAUCGCUAGUAAUCGCGGAUCAGCUUGCCGCGGUGAAUACGUUCCCGGGUCUUGUACACGCCGCCCGUCACACCAUGGGAGCGGGUUCUGCCAGAAGUAGUUAGCCUAACCGC
RNAcentral lists this ribosomal RNA (1430 nucleotides) under metagenome. Its description in RNAcentral is "bacterial SSU rRNA". It matches the Rfam family "Bacterial small subunit ribosomal RNA". The record is from RNAcentral.